ACUCUACGGGAGGCAGCAGUGGGGAAUUUUGGACAAUGGGCGCAAGCUGAUCCAGCCAUGCCGCGUGUGUGAAGAAGGUCUUCGGAUUGUAAAGCACUUUCGACGGGGACGAUGAUGACGGUACCCGUAGAAGAAGCCCCGGCUAACUUCGUGCCAGCAGCCGCGGUAAUACGAAGGGGGCUAGCGUUGCUCGGAAUGACUGGGCGUAAAGGGCGCGUAGGCGGAUGGUAUAGUCAGAUGUGAAAUUCCUGGGCUCAACCUGGGGACUGCAUUUGAUACGUAUCGUCUUGAGUUCGGAAGAGGGUCGUGGAAUUCCCAGUGUAGAGGUGAAAUUCGUAGAUAUUGGGAAGAACACCGGUGGCGAAGGCGGCGACCUGGUCCGAAACUGACGCUGAGGCGCGAAAGCGUGGGGAGCAAACAGGAUUAGAUACCCUGGUAGUCCACGCUGUAAACGAUGUGUGCUGGAUGUUGGGUGACCUAGUCACUCAGUGUCGUAGCUAACGCGAUAAGCACACCGCCUGGGGAGUACGGCCGCAAGGUUGAAACUCAAAUGAAUUGACGG
This 562-nucleotide ribosomal RNA is filed under the name uncultured Acetobacteraceae bacterium. RNAcentral describes it as "bacterial SSU rRNA". It matches the Rfam family "Bacterial small subunit ribosomal RNA", at positions 335 to 916 of the family's 1533-position model. Lineage: Bacteria; Pseudomonadati; Pseudomonadota; Alphaproteobacteria; Acetobacterales; Acetobacteraceae. The record is from RNAcentral.